CUCUGCUGUAACGUGACACUUUCUAAGGCUCCCAUAGGCUCUCAGAAGGCGCCAGAAUGUUGAAUGAUGACUCUGCAGUCUCUGGCUGAAAAACAGUAGCGCAUUUGGAUAGUGGUCGAUCUGAGAACAAUGACACGGGCGCACACGUGCACGUGAAGAGUCCAUUUUGCAUUUUCAGUCUUUGAAUGAAAACAACGACUCCCGGUCGGAAUAUUAUCGCUAUUUUACGAGAAAAAUCGCAUAAAAAUUGAUUUUAAACAGCGUUUGACAUGCUUCGAACUACGGUAAUGGAAUAUUUUGAAUUUUUUUGUCACGAUACGCGUCCGCGCGUCACCCUUCGUUACCCUUCGGAUAGUGUCUUGAACGCACAAACAAAACGCCGCUAUUUGGAUAUAACUAUGGAUUAUUUGGAACCAAACCAACAUUUGUUGUUGAAGUAAAAGUCCUGGGAGUGCAUUCUGACGAAGAAUAGCAAAGGUCCCAAGUACUGAUGAGGCCGGAUGGAUAGGGGCCAGAUGCGUGAUGAGCCGGACCGAUGGGGGCCUCUCAUGUGAUGAGCCGGACCGAUGGGGGCCUCUCGUGUGAUGAGCCGGACCGAUGGGGGCCUCUUGCGUGUCAUAAAGUGACAGCAGCACAUGACCUUUACGAGUUUGGGCCACAAUUUGCAGAAGAUUAGUCGACCCGAAAAUGUAAAUGAAGCGCAGAAAGGGCAAGCGAAUCAAUUUCUCUUUAGAUAUUAAUAGUCUGAGGGAAAGCACUGGAAUGGAAAAUAAAACAUUUACAUUUGCAUUUACACAGAUUAAGUUUAAAAAAUAGAAAAUAAUAGACUGGACUGAAAGACAGUGAGUUGUGACCUUCUUAGGUUGGUUGAUGGUAUAGAGUUUUUUUUAAAGGUAUUCUUACCUGUGAUUGUAGGCCACAUUUGCUGUGCACUUCAAAGCAGUAGACUUUAACUUCUUGUAGCUUGAUAUUGUUGCAAGAUGGCGCCGACAGAGAUAGUCACCUCGUUUUGGGUGCUUAGGAAACUAUGCAGUAUUUUUUUUAUGUAUUAUUUAUUACAUUGUUAGCCCAGAAAAUCUUAAACCUCAUCCAUAUAUCUAUAUGUACAUAUUCUUAUUCCAUCCCUUUAGAUUGGUGUGUAUUAGGUAGUUAUUGGGGAAUUCCUCCACUUUUCAACCUAAUUUUCAGCACAAUACCAGUGUCAACGUAAUGUGAAAACGGCGCAUUUCUACUUUUUUGUAAAAAACAUAUAAAGUUAAAAAGUUCUACCCAAUGAUGUCAUCAAAAGUUAAAACAUUUUAAAAACGGUGAUUUUCAAAAACUAUGAGAUUUGCGGUGAUGUGGGGAGCACAACAAAUCCCCUCCCUCUGGCUAGAAACUCAUAGCAGGUUUUGAAAAUCACUGUUUUUUCUUACAUUUAAUCCUACCCUGUUAUGUCACAGAGAAGUAUAUUUUCUUCUUAACGUUUUAAACACAGAUCAUAAAAAAACGUGCCGUUUUUCUUGAAUUUGAAAAUUGACGGAAUUGCCCUUUAAGAACAUGAUCCAUCUUUUUUUAUUGACACUAAAGACAUUAAAUAAUCUGUGUAUUGAGCAUAGAUCCAGAAAUCUCAAAUUAUUGUGAUGCUCUCAUGCUAUUUAAAUUCAACCAAAAGUGACUUCUUCCAAAAACUUAAACGGGGUGAAUACAUUAUGAAAGUGUUGGGUCAGAGGGAUCAGUUUAGUGUGAGAUGAGUUCCCACGAUGAGAUUUCCCUUGUGAAGGGGGUCAAGGUUGGAUCGUAAUCCAAUCAAGUUUAUUCACUGUGCAGUCGCUUUAAUAUGCGGUCACAGUGCUCUUGGAUGCUAGGAGGGUAAACACCUAGAAAUUGUCCUUGAAAAACCUCCUUUGCUGAAGUGACAGGAAAAGAAAGUAAAUGAGUUUUAUCAAAAAUGUCCUAUGUGGAUACACCUCAAAUUUACUUUAAAUUCAUUUGGACUUUGAGCCAUUAGCUGACAUUUAUAGGUUCCAUGUUACGCAUAAACACAUGACCAAAACAAAUCUUUCUCUAACACGACUGAACUAAAUUACUAUCGCCCAGUAGCCCUCACUUCUGUCAACAUGAAGUGCUUUGAGAGACUAGCCAAGGAUCAUAUCACCUCUACCUUACCUGUCCCUCUAGACCCACUUCAAUUUGCUUACCUCCCCAAUAGAUCCACAAAAGAUGCAAUCGCCAUUACUCUGCACACUGCCCUAUCCCAUCAGGACAAGAGGAUUAUCCUAUGUAAGAACGCUGUUCUUUGACUAUAGCUCAGCGUUCAACACCAUAGUACCCUCCAAGCUCAUCAUUAAGCUCGAGGCCCUGGGUCCGAACCCCUACCUGUGCAACUGGGUCCUGGACUUCCUGACGGGCCACCCCCAGGUGGUGAAAGUAGGAAACAACAUCUCCACUUCACUGAUCCUCAACACUGGAGACCCCAAGAGUGUGUGCUCAGCCCCCUCUUGUACUCCCUGUUCACCCAUGACUUCGUGGCCAAGCACGCCUCCAACUCAAUCAUCAAGUUUGCAGACGACACAACAGUACUAGAGCAUCCUGUCGGGCUGUAUCACCGCCUGGUAUGGCAACUGCACCUCCCGCAACUGCAGGGCUCUCCAGAGUGUGGUGCAGUCUGCCCAACGAAUGCACCGGGGCAAACUGCCUGCCCUCCAGGACACCUACAGCACCCGAUGUCACAGCAAUGCCAAAAAGAUCAUCAAGGACAACAACCACCCGAGCCACUGCCUGUUCACCACGCUAUCAUCCAGAAGGCGAGAGGACCUAAGACUUCGCUUCAGGACUACCUGGCCUGGCGUCUCCUGGCUGUCCCUGUCCCCAGUCCACCUGUUCGCCCUGCUGAUCCAGUUUCUGCUGUUCUGCCUUGCAGCUACAUCCCGGACCUGCUGUUUUGACUCUCUCUCUCUCUCUCUCUCUCUCUCUCUCUCUCUCUCUCUCUCUCUCUCUCUCUCU
RNAcentral lists this long non-coding RNA (2985 nucleotides) under Salmo salar (Atlantic salmon). RNAcentral describes it as "lncRNA (ENSSSAG00000085323.1)". The record is from RNAcentral. Lineage: Eukaryota; Metazoa; Chordata; Actinopteri; Salmoniformes; Salmonidae.